UACAGAGGUGGCAAGCGUUAAUCGGAAUUACUGGGCGUAAAGCGCGCGUAGGCGGCUUUGCAAGUCGGGUGUGAAAUCCCCAGGCUUAACCUGGGAACUGCAUUCGAGACUGCAUUGCUAGAGUAUGGGAGAGGGAAGUGGAAUUUCCGGUGUAGCGGUGAAAUGCGUAGAUAUCGGAAGGAACAUCAGUGGCGAAAGCGACUUCCUGGACCAAUACUGACGCUCAUGUGCGAAAGCGUGGGGAGCAAACAGG
Molecule: ribosomal RNA, 253 nt
Filed under: uncultured bacterium
Lineage: Bacteria
Description: partial 16S ribosomal RNA
Rfam family: Bacterial small subunit ribosomal RNA
Source: RNAcentral